GACGGAGGAUGCAAGCGUUAUCCGGAAUGAUUGGGCGUAAAGCGUCCGCAGGUGGCAGUUCAAGUCUGCUGUCAAAGACCGGGGCUUAACUUCGGAAAGGCAGUGGAAACUGAACAGCUAGAGUAUGGUAGGGGCAGAGGGAAUUCCUGGUGUAGCGGUGAAAUUCGUAGAUAUCGGGAGGAACACCGGUGGCGAAGGCGGCGACCUGGGUAGAUACUGACGCUGAGGUGCGAAAGCGUGGGGAGCAAACAGG
RNAcentral lists this ribosomal RNA (253 nucleotides) under uncultured bacterium. RNAcentral's name for it is "partial 16S ribosomal RNA". It matches the Rfam family "Bacterial small subunit ribosomal RNA", at positions 524 to 776 of the family's 1533-position model. The record is from RNAcentral.